GAACGCUAGCGGCAGGCUUAAUACAUGCAAGUCAAGGGGGUAGCAAUACAACCGGCGCACGGGUGAGUAACGCGUACACAACAUACCAUAUACUGGAGUAUAGCUUUGGGAAACUGAAGGUAAUCCUCCAUAACAUUGCGAGAGGGCAUCUGAUUGCAAUUAAAGUUUCGGCGGUAUAUGAUUGGUGUGCGUUUGAUUAGCUAGUUGGUAGGGUAACGGCCUACCAAGGCGACGAUCAAUAGCUGGCGUGAGAGCGCGACCAGCCACACUGGAACUGAGACACGGUCCAGACUCCUACGGGAGGCAGCAGUAGGGAAUAUUGGACAAUGGAGGAAACUCUGAUCCAGCCAUGCCGCGUGAUAGAUGAAGGCCCUCUGGGUUGUAAAUAUCUUUUAUCUGGGAAGAAACACUCCUAUUCUUAGGAACUUGACGGUACCAGAGGAAUAAGCACCGGCUAACUCCGUG
This 465-nucleotide ribosomal RNA is filed under the name uncultured bacterium. Its description in RNAcentral is "bacterial SSU rRNA". It matches the Rfam family "Bacterial small subunit ribosomal RNA", at positions 31 to 507 of the family's 1533-position model. The record is from RNAcentral.